GGUCGAUUAGCUCAGUUGGUUAGAGCGUGGUGCUAAUAUAAUGAACAUGAUACGCCAAGGCCGUGGGUUCGACCCCCAUAUUGACCA
Molecule: non-coding RNA, 87 nt
Organism: Tricladium varicosporioides
Lineage: Eukaryota; Fungi; Ascomycota; Leotiomycetes; Helotiales; Tricladiaceae
Source: the annotation of a GenBank genome assembly